Molecule: ribosomal RNA, 471 nt
Filed under: uncultured Aquabacterium sp.
Lineage: Bacteria; Pseudomonadati; Pseudomonadota; Betaproteobacteria; Burkholderiales; Sphaerotilaceae
Description: bacterial SSU rRNA
Rfam family: Bacterial small subunit ribosomal RNA
Source: RNAcentral
AAUUGACGGGACCCGCACAAGCGGUGGAUGAUGUGGUUUAAUUCGAUGCAACGCGAAAAACCUUACCUACCCUUGACAUGUCAAGAAUUUUGCAGAGAUGUGAAAGUGCUCGAAAGAGAACUUGAACACAGGUGCUGCAUGGCCGUCGUCAGCUCGUGUCGUGAGAUGUUGGGUUAAGUCCCGCAACGAGCGCAACCCUUGUCAUUAGUUGCUACCGCAAGGAGCACUCUAAUGAGACUGCCGGUGACAAACCGGAGGAAGGUGGGGAUGACGUCAGGUCCUCAUGGCCCUUAUGGGUAGGGCUACACACGUCAUACAAUGGCCGGUACAGAGGGCUGCCAACCCGCGAGGGGGAGCCAAUCCCAGAAAACCGGUCGUAGUCCGGAUCGUAGUCUGCAACUCGACUGCGUGAAGUCGGAAUCGCUAGUAAUCGCGGAUCAGCUUGCCGCGGUGAAUACGUUCCCGGGUCUU